AACAUGGCUACAACCAGAGUCUCUAAACUAUGCUGAACAGAGCUGGGGCAGUAUAUCCCUACUCAUCAUAUUAUUCCUUUUUAGGCUUUGUUUGCAAGUACUAGAAGAGUUUGCAGAAGAUUCCUUAGAGCUUUGAAAAGUGAAGUUGUGCAGCAACUUUGGUGCAAUUUAAAAAAAAGAAGAAGCUGGGUUGUUUUGCCAAGCAGCUUUGAAAGAUAAUAUUGCUUCAGUCUUUAUUGAAGCAAAGUGCCCAGCACAACCUUAUCAUCCCAUUUCUCAUUUUUCCAGUUGAAGAUCUGUUCUGGCAUCUACAAAUCUGCCCCCAAAAUGAAUUUGCAUUAAUGCUCA
Molecule: long non-coding RNA, 348 nt
Organism: Pantherophis guttatus
Lineage: Eukaryota; Metazoa; Chordata; Lepidosauria; Squamata; Colubridae
Source: RefSeq, a predicted model, not a curated record